This 906-nucleotide long non-coding RNA is filed under the name Vigna radiata. RNAcentral's name for it is "long non-coding RNA (VRAD_LNC011742)". The record is from RNAcentral. Lineage: Eukaryota; Viridiplantae; Streptophyta; Magnoliopsida; Fabales; Fabaceae.
GAAGAGGUAUAGGUCGGUGCACGGUAGGAGACGCAUUGGUGGUGGUGUUAGAAGAAGAAGGUCUACUUGAAGAAGAACCACCAAAAGAGGAAGAAGGCCCACUUGCCUAAAUUGUCUUGCUUGGACUUGGCUGGUCCUCUUUUCUCUAAGAUGUAGCAAGGUGAAGCUGGGGUGCAGGUGUAGCUGCAGGAGGUGGUACUGUGGGCACAACAAUUUGCUUCCCAGAUCUGAGGGCAAUGGCACUGGCAUUCUUCAGAUUCUGCACAGUCUGGGAUGGCUAUCUGAACUCGGAGAUUGUGCCUGAUUUAGCUGUGUAGCCAUCUGUCCCAUAUAAUUAGUCAAACUCUAAAUGGAAGUUAUUGUCUCCUACUAGAAUUUCAUAUUCUGAAUGGUUAUCUGCCUCACAAGCUCCUCUAAUGUAGGCUCAGAUGAAGUGAAAGGUUAAGGAGCGGGUUGGGCAAGUAUUUCUUGCUGUUGUUGUUGCCUCUGAUACUGCUGAACUAGUGGAGGCACAUAUGGCCUACUUGGACCUGGAACAUUCUGGAAAGGUGGUGGCUAUUGUGGUUGUUGCUGCUAAUGUUGGGGAGCAUUGGACCAUCUAAGAUAUGGGUGAUUCCUCCACCCUAGGUUGUACCUGUUGUUGGACAAGUCAUAAUUUUGCUGUUGUGGUUGCAUGUUAUUGUAGAUGUUUGCAGCAUAUGCUUGAGGUGCAUCAUGGCUAAUAGGUUGCUACAAUAAGAGACAAACAUCUAUAUAAUGAUCACUGGAAGGACAUAUAGCACAUAGUCGUGCAACAGAUGCAGAUGGAGGUGCUAGUCUUUGGUUACUGGCCAACUACGUCACCAAACUCACAAGAGCAUCAAGCUUACUCUCCAAUUUCUUAUCAGAGGAUGAUGAAGGGUGGGC